GCCGGGAUGGCUCAGUGGUAGAGCGAGUUAUUGGUAAUAACUAGGUCGAGGGUUCAAUUCCCUCUCCCGGCU
This 72-nucleotide transfer RNA is filed under the name Candidatus Gottesmanbacteria bacterium. RNAcentral's name for it is "tRNA-Thr". It matches the Rfam family "tRNA". From Rfam's summary of the family: Transfer RNA (tRNA) molecules are approximately 80 nucleotides in length. Their secondary structure includes four short double-helical elements and three loops (D, anti-codon, and T loops). The record is from RNAcentral. Lineage: Bacteria; Candidatus Gottesmaniibacteriota.